RNAcentral lists this ribosomal RNA (489 nucleotides) under uncultured Symbiodinium. RNAcentral's name for it is "partial Bacterial small subunit ribosomal RNA". It matches the Rfam family "Bacterial small subunit ribosomal RNA", at positions 31 to 517 of the family's 1533-position model. The record is from RNAcentral. Lineage: Eukaryota; Dinophyceae; Suessiales; Symbiodiniaceae.
GAACGCUGGCGGCAGGCCUAACACAUGCAAGUCGAGCGGUAACAUUUCUAGCUUGCUAGAAGAUGACGAGCGGCGGACGGGUGAGUAAUGCUUGGGAAUAUGCCUUAGGGUGGGGGACAACAGUUGGAAACGACUGCUAAUACCGCAUAACGUCUACGGACCAAAGGGGGCUUCGGCUCUCGCCCUUAGAUUAGCCCAAGUGGGAUUAGCUAGUUGGUGAGGUAAUGGCUUACCAAGGCGACGAUCCCUAGCUGGUUUGAGAGGAUGAUCAGCCACACUGGAACUGAGACACGGUCCAGACUCCUACGGGAGGCAGCAGUGGGGAAUAUUGCACAAUGGGCGCAAGCCUGAUGCAGCCAUGCCGCGUGUGUGAAGAAGGCCUUAGGGUUGUAAAGCACUUUCAGUAAGGAGGAAAGGUUAGUAGUUAAUACCUGCUAGCUGUGACGUUACUUACAGAAGAAGCACCGGCUAACUCCGUGCCAGCAGCCG